This is a long non-coding RNA of Nomascus leucogenys (northern white-cheeked gibbon), 101 nucleotides long. RefSeq lists it as uncharacterized. The record is from RefSeq and is a predicted model, not a curated record. NCBI's taxonomy places the organism in Eukaryota, Metazoa, Chordata, Mammalia, Primates, Hylobatidae. The transcript has 4 exons.
UAUUUGGCCUCAUGGGAGUAUGUAACCUAUAAAUGCUGUUGCUAUGGUUGUGAGUAGGAGGAUAAUGCCAAUAUUUCGGGAUUCUAGGUAAAGGAAAGAAC